RNAcentral lists this long non-coding RNA (1061 nucleotides) under Triticum aestivum (bread wheat). Its description in RNAcentral is "long non-coding RNA (TAES_LNC019391)". The record is from RNAcentral. Lineage: Eukaryota; Viridiplantae; Streptophyta; Magnoliopsida; Poales; Poaceae.
AACAAUUAAACAUGUUCACGUAUAUUAUCCGUAUAAGUAUAGAGGAAGACGCUUAGAGUACAGAGUGCAGUUUCACAUUUUUUUUUAAGUCGGACAUAACCGCGUACAUCAGUAGUAUACGGACAGUAUACCAAUUGGUUGGAGAUCUGAUGGCACCCUCAGACAUGAUGAAGUGCACAGUGCACGGUGGACCGCAAUGCCCUAUUAUAGUAAACGGUAAUAAGGUAAAAAGGGUAAGGAAUAUGGCCUCUUAAUAAGUUAGCAAUAUGCAAAAGUAAAAAUAUACUGAAAGAUAAAUCAAUAAACAAUUUAGGACUAUGCAGAAUGACAAAUAUGCCUCUUAAUACAUACGGAUAAACAUGUGAGAAAUUAAAUUAAAAACUGAAAACAGGUCUUAACAACUAUUAUAUAAACUGAAUUAAUACGCAACAUCAACAGUCAUUUCAGACGACUGCAAAUCAAUGUUGCACUUUUGGGAGGAUGUCAUAUGCAUUGCGAAUUCUAAUGGUUGUUUGGUUUAAUCAAUUUCUCAACCUUGGCUGUAGAAAAUAGUGGUUUAUAUUUUAAUGCAAAAAGGGAUGAUAUAAACAUUCACCUGUUAACAUAAAUAUGAGGAGAAGAAAAACAGAGGACACAAAGAUAGUCAGUAGCAUCAAAUUUUACAAUUCGUGGGCAUACAUACGUAUGUACAAUAAGACAUGUGAGUACAUGUAUACUAACCUUGGUGGCAACCAUUGCAAAUCGUGAGCUUUAGAAGUGCCUGAACUAACCACCAGAAUCUGUCGGCAAUUCCAAUACAUCAACUGAGAGAUGUAAGAGCAACUGCAGCAGAACAAGUGUCUGUCGUGAAUUGGGAGCAAAAGAAGAAAGCGGCAUCAAUCAGAAGGGACUCGGUAUCAGUAGUAACUGGAUGGAAGAUGUGAGGAAGGAGGGGCGAUAAACCUACGGAGGCAACUUGGCGAGAAGCAUGGCCAGAAGAUUUGAUGUUGCCAAGUAAGGUUGGGGAAUGAGCAGUAGCAGGGUGGGUGGAUAUUAUAUAGAGACGCAACGAUUAAAGGGAG